GCCGAAGUGGCGGAAUGGCAGACGCAGUAGACUCAAAAUCUACCGCUCGCAAGAGUGUGCCGGUUCAAGUCCGGCCUUCGGCACCA
RNAcentral lists this transfer RNA (86 nucleotides) under Bacillota bacterium. RNAcentral's name for it is "tRNA-Leu". It matches the Rfam family "tRNA". From Rfam's summary of the family: Transfer RNA (tRNA) molecules are approximately 80 nucleotides in length. Their secondary structure includes four short double-helical elements and three loops (D, anti-codon, and T loops). Lineage: Bacteria; Bacillati; Bacillota. The record is from RNAcentral.